Molecule: long non-coding RNA, 586 nt
Organism: Dreissena polymorpha
Lineage: Eukaryota; Metazoa; Mollusca; Bivalvia; Myida; Dreissenidae
Exons: 3
Source: RefSeq, a predicted model, not a curated record
UCGAUCUAAUUUUGAUCUUCUAUACUUUUCUAUAAUCAUUAAGACAUGUGCAAUGUAUUAUGUAGAGUAACAUGUGUUUAUUAGGCAGGCACAAUGUGUUAUGUAGAGUACUAUGUGUUUAUUAGGCAGGUACAAUGUAUUAUGUAGAGUACCAUGUGUUUAUUAGGCAGGUACAAUGUAUUAUGUAGAGUAACAUGUGUUUAUUAGGCAGGUACAAUGUGUUAUGUAGAGUACCAUGUGUUUAUUAGACAGGUACAAUGAGUUAUGUAGAGUACCAUGUGUUUAUUAGGCAGGUACAAUGUAUUAUGUAGAGUACCAUGUGUUUAUUAGGCAGGUACAAUGUAUUAUGUAGAGUACCAUGUGUUUAUUAGGCAGGUACAAUGUAUUAUGUAGAGUACCAUGUGUUUAUUAGGCAGGUACAAUGUAUUAUGUAGAGUAACAUGUGUUAAUUAGGCAGGUACAAUGUAUUAUGUAGAGUACCAUGUGUUUAUUAGGCAGGUACAAUGUAUUAUGUAGAGUAACAUGUGUUUAUUAGGCAGGUACAAUGUAUUAUGUAGAGUAACAUGUGUUUAUUAGGCAGGUACAA